CCUACGGGAGGCAGCAGUGAGGAAUAUUGGUCAAUGGGCGCGAGCCUGAACCAGCCAAGUAGCGUGAAGGAUGACUGCCCUACGGGUUGUAAACUUCUUUUAUACAGGAGUAAAGUGAGCCACGUGUGCCUUUUUGUCUGUACUUUAUGAAUAAGGAUCGGCUAACUCCGUGCCAGCAGCCGCGGUAAUACGGAGGAUCCGAGCGUUAUCCGGAGUUAUUGGGUUUAAAGGGAGCGUAGAUGGGUUGUUAAGUCAGUUGUGAAAGUUUGCGGCUCAACCGUAAAAUUGCAAUUGAGACUGGCAGCCUUGAGUACAGUUGAGGUAGGCGGAAUUCGUGGUGUAGCGGUGAAAUGCUUAGAUAUCACGAAGAACUCCGAUUGCGAAGGCAGCUUACUAAACUGCCACUGACAUUGAGGCUCGAAAGUGUGGGUAUCAAACAGGAUUAGAUACCCGAGUAGUC
RNAcentral lists this ribosomal RNA (460 nucleotides) under uncultured bacterium. Its description in RNAcentral is "partial 16S ribosomal RNA". It matches the Rfam family "Bacterial small subunit ribosomal RNA", at positions 338 to 795 of the family's 1533-position model. The record is from RNAcentral.